RNAcentral lists this long non-coding RNA (905 nucleotides) under Salvia miltiorrhiza (redroot sage). Its description in RNAcentral is "long non-coding RNA (SMIL_LNC001859)". The record is from RNAcentral. Lineage: Eukaryota; Viridiplantae; Streptophyta; Magnoliopsida; Lamiales; Lamiaceae.
UAGCUAGCGGCGGAGGCGCUCCCAUCGCGGAUGCUUACACGAUCAACGGCCACCCCGGCCCCAACUAUAACUGCUCCGUCAACGGUAAGCCUCAAGUCUAGUAAUAAGGAUAAAAAUAGUUACAUGAGAUGUAAGAAAAAGGUAAAUUAAGCAGAAACGUUCCUUAGAUGUGUACAGGAUGAACGUGGUACCCGGGAAGACCUACCUGCUGAGGUUGAUCAACGCGGGAUUGAACACAGAAAACUUCUUUGCAAUUGCUAAUCACAAGCUCACCAUAGUCGAAGCAGAUGCAGAGUACACAAAGGCGCUCCACACCGACAAGGUGAUGCUCGCGCCGGGCCAGACCCUCAACGUCCUCGUCACAGCAGAUCAGCCCAUAAGUAGAUACUCCAUGGCUGUCGGGCCAUACAUGUCUGCAAGAAACGUACCGUUUCAGAACAUAACCUCAGUAGGAUAUUUUCAGUACCUAGGUGCAACACCAAACAGCAUAUCUUUACCAGCCAUGCUACCUAGUUUCAACGACAAUCUUGCCGUUAAAACUGUAAUGGACGGGCUCCGGGGCCUCAACACCUCGGAUGUUCCUAAAGUAAUUGACAAGAACUUGUUUGUCACCAUAGGUGUGAAUGUGAAUAAGUGUAAUAGAAAAAACCCCAAGAAAAACUGCCAAGGCACUAAUGGUGGGGUGUUUGCUGCUUCCAUGAACAAUAUAAGUUUCAUUAGACCUAAUGUUUCACUUUUAGAAGCUUAUUACAGGGAUAAAGCUGGCUACUUCACUGAUGAUUUCCCCGGGGCACCCUUAAAAUUUUACGAUUUUGUUAACGGGGCGCCUAACAAUGCUCCUAAUGACACCAACGCGAUGAAUGGGACGAGGUUGUUUGUGCUUGAGUAUGGGACAAGGGUUCAAC